RNAcentral lists this non-coding RNA (92 nucleotides) under Clostridiales bacterium PH28_bin88. Its description in RNAcentral is "c-di-GMP-I riboswitch aptamer". It matches the Rfam family "c-di-GMP-I riboswitch aptamer". From Rfam's summary of the family: GEMM was predicted in a large-scale screen for bacterial structured RNA regulatory elements. Genes associated with GEMM are involved in a diverse array of functions, including chemotaxis regulation, signal transduction, secretion and chitin. RNAcentral also lists the same sequence under 1 other name. The record is from Rfam by way of RNAcentral. Lineage: Bacteria; Bacillati; Bacillota; Clostridia; Eubacteriales.
CACCGAUAAUGGCUAAACUGCUGAAAAGUAGUGGCGCAAAGCUAGAAGGGCCUACGACCCCUCCCAAUGGGUUAUGGCAGCCAGCUACCGAA